AUUGAACGCUGGCGGCAGGCCUAACACAUGCAAGUCGAGCGGAUGAAGGGAGCUUGCGCGGGGAGCCAGCGGCGGACGGGGGAGUAAUGCCUGUGAAUCUGCUGGGUUGGGGUGGAGAAUGUCUGGAAACGGGCGCUGAUACCGCAUACGUGGUGAGGGAGCAAGAUGGGGAGGGUCGGACCGCACGCGAGGAGAGGAGUGUAGGUCGGGUUAGCUAGUUGGUGGGGGAAAGGGCGGCCAAGGCGACGAUCCGUCACUGGUCUGAGAGGAUGAGCAGUCACACUGGAACUGAGACACGGUCCAGACGCCUACGGGAGGGAGCCGUGGGGAAUCUUGGACAAUGGGCGAAAGCCUGAUCCAGCCAUGCCGCGUGUGUGAAGAAGGUCUUCGGAUUGUAAAGCACUUUCAGUUGGGAGGAAGGGCCGUAAGUUAAUACCUUGCUGUUUUGAAGUUACCUAGAGAAUAAGCACCGGCCAACUUCGUG
Molecule: ribosomal RNA, 484 nt
Filed under: uncultured bacterium
Lineage: Bacteria
Description: partial 16S ribosomal RNA
Rfam family: Bacterial small subunit ribosomal RNA
Source: RNAcentral